AGCGAACGCUGGCGGCAGGCCUAACACAUGCAAGUCGAACGGAUCCUUCGGGAUUAGUGGCGGACGGGUGAGUAACUCGUGGGAACGUGCCCUUUGGUUCGGAACAACUCCGGGAAACUUGAUCUAACACCGGAUGUGCCCAUCGGCGGAAAGGUUUAUCGCCAUUGGAGCGUCUCGCGUCUGAUUAGCUAGUUGGUGAGGUAAAGGCUCACCAAGGCGAUGAUCAGUAGCUGGUCUGAGAGGAUGAUCAGCCACAUUGGUACUGAGACACGGCCCAAACUCCUACGUGAGGCAGCAGUGGGGAAUCUUGCGCAAUGGGCGAAAGCCUGACGCAGCCAUGCCGCGUGAAUGAUGAAGGUCUUAGGAUUGUAAAAUUCUUUCACCGGGGACGAUAAUGACGGUACCCGGAGAAGAAGCCCCGGCUAACUUCGUGCCAGCCGCCGCGGUAA
RNAcentral lists this ribosomal RNA (449 nucleotides) under uncultured bacterium. RNAcentral's name for it is "partial 16S ribosomal RNA". It matches the Rfam family "Bacterial small subunit ribosomal RNA", at positions 29 to 523 of the family's 1533-position model. The record is from RNAcentral.